RNAcentral lists this ribosomal RNA (409 nucleotides) under uncultured bacterium. RNAcentral describes it as "bacterial SSU rRNA". It matches the Rfam family "Archaeal small subunit ribosomal RNA", at positions 338 to 747 of the family's 1478-position model. The record is from RNAcentral.
GGCGCGAAACCUCCGCAAUGUGAGAAAUCGCGACGGGGGGAUCCCAAGUGCCAUUCUUAACGGGAUGGCUUUUCUUAAGUGUAAAAAGCUUUUGGAAUAAGAGCUGGGCAAGACCGGUGCCAGCCGCCGCGGUAACACCGGCAGCUCUAGUGGUAGCUGUUUUUAUUGGGCCUAAAGCGUUCGUAGCCGGUUUGAUAAGUCACUGGUGAAAUCCUGUAGCUUAACUGUGGGAAUUGCUGGUGAUACUGUUGAACUUGAGGUCGGGAGAGGUUAGCGGUACUCCCAGGGUAGAGGUGAAAUUCUGUAAUCCUGGGAGGACCACCUGUGGCGAAGGCGGCUAACUGGAACGAACCUGACGGUGAGGGACGAAAGCUAGGGGCGCGAACCGGAUUAGAUACCCGAGUAGUCC